This 776-nucleotide ribosomal RNA is filed under the name uncultured Neocallimastigales. RNAcentral's name for it is "partial large subunit ribosomal RNA". It matches the Rfam family "Eukaryotic large subunit ribosomal RNA", at positions 23 to 643 of the family's 3401-position model. Lineage: Eukaryota; Fungi; Neocallimastigomycota; Neocallimastigomycetes; Neocallimastigales. The record is from RNAcentral.
AGAGAUGUGUGAUGACGCAUAUCAAUAAGCGGAGGAAAAGAAACUAACAAGGAUUCCCCUUAGUAACGGCGAGUGAAGCGGGAAGAGCUCAAAUUUGAAAUCUUCAAGGGUUCUACCUUGACGAAUUGUAGUUUAUAGAAGUGUUUUCUGUUAGUGGAGUGGCAAAAGUUCUUUGGAAUAGGACAUCAUAGAGGGUGAGAAUCCCGUAUUUGGUCAUUCCUCCUAGCGUUGUGAUACACUUUCAACGAGUCGGAUUGUUUGGGAAUGCAGUCCAAAAUGGGUGGUAAAUUUCAUCUAAAGCUAAAUAUUGGCGAGAGACCGAUAGCGAACAAGUACCGUGAGGGAAAGAUGAAAAGAACUUUGAAAAGAGAGUUAAACAGUACGUGAAAUUGUCAAAAGGGAAGCGUUUGACACCAGUGUUGUUUUUCCGAAAAUCAAUUACGAAUGUUUUGUUUUUGAGGAGUUAUGACUUCAUCGGCUUGCUCCUUUCUUUACGAAACUUUCUUAAUGCACUUUUCGGUUAACAAGUCAACAUCAAUUUCUUUUGUUGUAAAAGGGUACGAGGAAGGUGGCUUUCUUUUCGGAGAAAGUGUUUAUAGCCUUGUACCUCUGCAAUCGGAGAGAUUGAGGUCUGCAGCGUAGAUCCUUCGGGGUUAGAUACAUUUGUGCUAAGUUAUAGCUUUUCAUAGACAACUUGUUGACUAUGUUUAGUCUUGUAGCUUACUCGCUUAUGCUAUUUUACCUACGCUUAGGAUGUUGAAGAUGUAGCACAUCAU